CCUACGGGCGGCAGCAGUGGGGAAUAUUGCACAAUGGGGGAAACCCUGAUGCAGCAACGCCGCGUGAGUGAAGAAGUCUUUCGGUAUGUAAAGCUCUAUCAGCAGGGAAGAGAAUGACGGUACCUGACUAAGAAUCCCCGGCUAACUACGUUCCAGCAGCCGCGGUAAUACGUAGGGGGCGGGCGUUAUCCGGAUUUACUGGGUGUAAAGGGUGCGUAGACGGCCAGGCAAGCCAGGGGUGAAAGCCCGGGGCCCAACCCCGGGAUUGCCCUUGGAACUGCAUGGCUGGAGUGCGGGAGGGGCAGGCGGAAUUCCUGGUGUAGCGGUGAAAUGCGUAGAUAUCAGGAGGAACACCGGCGGCGAAGGCGGCCUGCUGGACCGCGACUGACGUUGAGGCUCGAAAGCGUGGGGAGCGAACAGGAUUAGAUACCCUUGUAGUC
This 440-nucleotide ribosomal RNA is filed under the name uncultured bacterium. RNAcentral describes it as "partial 16S ribosomal RNA". It matches the Rfam family "Bacterial small subunit ribosomal RNA", at positions 338 to 795 of the family's 1533-position model. The record is from RNAcentral.